RNAcentral lists this unclassified non-coding RNA (378 nucleotides) under plant metagenome. Its description in RNAcentral is "partial contains 5.8S ribosomal RNA, internal transcribed spacer 2, and large subunit ribosomal RNA". The stretch from base 1 to 105 matches the Rfam family "5.8S ribosomal RNA", at positions 50 to 154 of the family's 154-position model. The record is from RNAcentral.
GAAAUGCGACAAGUAAUGUGAAUUGCAGAAUUCAGUGAAUCAUCUAAUCUUUGAACGCACCUUGCGCUCCUUGGUAUUCCUUGGAGCAUGCCUGUUUGAGUAUCAUGAAAUCUUCAAAGUAAAUCUUUUGUUAACUCAAUUGGUUUCUACUUUGGUAUUGGAGGUCUUUGCAGCUUCACACCUGCUCCUCUUUGUUCAUUAGCUGGAUCUCAGUGUUAUGCUUGGUUCCACUCGGCGUGAUAAGUUAUCUAUCGCUGAGGACACUGUAAAAGGUGGCCAAGGUAAAUGCAGAUGAACCGCUUCUAAUAGUCCAUUGACUUGGACAAUACUUUUAUGAUCUGAUCUCAAAUCAGGUAGGACUACCCGCUGAACUUAAGC